CAGAAGAGGACAGUGGAACUCCAUGUGUAGCGGUGAAAUGCGUAGAUAUAUGGAAGAACACCAGUGGCGAAGGCGGCUGUCUGGUCUGUAACUGACGCUGAGGCUCGAAAGUAUGGGUAGCAAACAGGAUUAGAUACCCUGGUAGUCCAUACCGUAAACGAUGAAUGCUAAGUGUUGGAGGGUUUCCGCCCUUCAGUGCUGCAGCUAACGCAUUAAGCAUUCCGCCUGGGGAGUACGGCCGCAAGGCUGAAGCUCAAAGGAAUUGACGGGGGCCCGCACAAGCGGUGGAGCAUGUGGUUUAAUUCGAAGCUACGCGAAGAACCUUACCAGGUCUUGACAUACUAUGCAAAUCUAAGAGAUUAGACGUUCCCUUCGGGGACAUGGAUACAGGUGGUGCAUGGUUGUCGUCAGCUCGUGUCGUGAGAUGUUGGGUUAAGUCCCGCAACGAGCGCAACCCUUAUUAUCAGUUGCCAGCAUUAAGUUGGGCACUCUGGUGAGACUGCCGGUGACAAACCGGAGGAAGGUGGGGAUGACGUCAAAUCAUCAUGCCCCUUAUGACCUGGGCUACACACGUGCUACAAUGGAUGGUACAACGAGUUGCGAACUCGCGAGAGUAAGCUAAUCUCUUAAAGCCAUUCUCAGUUCGGAUUGUAGGCUGCAACUCGCCUACAUGAAGUCGGAAUCGCUAGUAAUCGCGGAUCAGCAUGCCGCGGUGAAUACGUUCCCGGGCCUUGUACACACCGCCCGUCACACCAUGAGAGUUUGUAACACCCAAAGUCGGUGGGGUAACCUUUUAGGAACCAGCCGCCUAAGGUGGGACAGAUGAUUAGGGUGAAGUCGUAACAAGGUAGCCGUA
This 856-nucleotide ribosomal RNA is filed under the name uncultured bacterium. Its description in RNAcentral is "bacterial SSU rRNA". It matches the Rfam family "Bacterial small subunit ribosomal RNA", at positions 649 to 1504 of the family's 1533-position model. The record is from RNAcentral.